GGGUUAAAACUCGAAAUCAGUCAAACUCGGUCAAAAUCGGUCAAACUCGUAAAAUCGGUCUGAUUUUACCGAUUUUAACUGAGUUUGACCGAUUUUGACCGAUUUCGAGUUUGAACCC
Molecule: non-coding RNA, 118 nt
Organism: Populus trichocarpa (black cottonwood)
Lineage: Eukaryota; Viridiplantae; Streptophyta; Magnoliopsida; Malpighiales; Salicaceae
Source: Rfam